CAAGACCUUGCGCUUUUGGAGCGGCCGGUGCCCGAUUAGCUUGUUGGUGAGGUAAAAGCUCACCAAGGCUUCGAUCAGUAGCUGGUCUGAGAGGACGACCAGCCACACUGGGACUGAGACACGGCCCAGACUCCUGCGGGAGGCAGCAGUGGGGAAUUUUGGACAAUGGGGGCAACCCUGAUCCAGCCAUGCCGCGUGAGUGAAGAAGGCCUUCGGGUUGUAAAGCUCUUUCAGCCGGAACGAAACGGUUACGGUUAAUACCCGUGACUACUGACGGUACCGGAAGAAGAAGCACCGGCUAACUACGUGCCAGCAGCCGCGGUAAUACGUAGGGUGCGAGCGUUAAUCGGAAUUACUGGGCGUAAAGCGUGCGCAGGUGGUUUUGUAAGUCAGAUGUGAAAUCCCCGGGCUUAACCUGGGAACU
RNAcentral lists this ribosomal RNA (424 nucleotides) under uncultured Nitrosospira sp. Its description in RNAcentral is "bacterial SSU rRNA". It matches the Rfam family "Bacterial small subunit ribosomal RNA", at positions 207 to 622 of the family's 1533-position model. Lineage: Bacteria; Pseudomonadati; Pseudomonadota; Betaproteobacteria; Nitrosomonadales; Nitrosomonadaceae. The record is from RNAcentral.